GGCUACGUAGCUCAGCUGGUUCAGCACUUGCCGUGUUGAGGCAUGCUGUGUCUGUAGCUGGUUCGGAUCCAGCCGAAGCCC
This 81-nucleotide transfer RNA is filed under the name Paragonimus westermani. Its description in RNAcentral is "tRNA-Asn". The record is from RNAcentral. Lineage: Eukaryota; Metazoa; Platyhelminthes; Trematoda; Plagiorchiida; Troglotrematidae.